CGAGCAGGCUGAAGGGCUGAGGGGUACUCUGGUAGCCAUCCCGAGAGCUGACAUUCCCCUCCAGCUGGCCAGGCCUCAUGUGAGGGAAUCCAGGGGAGGCUGGAUGAUGCAGUCGGCAUUUUUGAGAAGAUGGGUUUGGAUUUCCUGUCCACUGUGUUGACGAAGACACUGGGAGAGACAUGAACCCUGCCAGAUCAAAAGACGCUGCUGGGCCAGGCAGUUCCCAGGAGCAGCUCCUCCAUGCUGCCUGGAUUCCAGAAUGAAGCUCUUUCUGAAGAAGCGGCGAGGCCCCUUUCCAAGAGCUUACCAUGGGGCCAGAGAGAGGAGUGAUUUGUCCGCAGGAAAUUCUUCGUGGUCAAGCCCAAGGUCAGGCUGAUCUGCAUGUGACACCUCCUUCAGGCCAGCACUGUAUUUAUGGCAUCAAAGGCUCCACCGCAAAGGGAGGUGGGGCCAUUGGGAAGCCAAGUUGAGGGGACCUUUGAUGUCCCUUUAUCUCUCCCAACAACCGUCCUGUAGAAGCCCGCAUUUUCUUCUUUCAGAUUCUCCACUUAGAAUGUUAAUGUCCAGGGCUGUGCAUACAGUCUGUGGUCAAUAAAUGCACAACCAAAGGCUGCUUAUCUGAAAACGCACAGAAUGAGCCUGCUUUCUGAGAUCACAUACCACAACAUUGGAACCUGCAUACUCUCAGCCAAUCUCUCUCCAAAGACUCCUGGGAAGGAAAAAUAUUAACAUGUUCAACCCUAAUCAAAUCUGGAUAAUUUCACUAGAAACCUUUCCAUAAUUUCAUCAGCAUUAAAGGAUUACAAUAGCAACAAAUUAAACCAACAGGCAUGAAUUUAGUUGCUCAAGAGGAAAAUGUAGCUUGAUUUAGAAACGGAUGUUACAGUUUAUUAACCAAUCUAAAUUAAUUUGAUUUGGAGCCACUGUUAAAUAUACAUUAGGAUGUAUCACCCAAUAGCAUAGCUGGCAGGGAAGAGAAGAGAGAGGAAGGACAGCAAGCGGGGCCAACAUAAGUAUGGCACCUACACAAUGGCAUGUUAAUUCUGUGGUACUGGGCUGCAUGUUCAAAACUAGGUAAGAAAAUACCAGUCAGGAGUCCAUAUAACAAGAAUUGCAAACUCGAUUCAAGCUAGCUCAAAGCCAAAAGGGAGAUUUGUUAUCUCGGUAGCUGAACUUCCCAGGGCCUGUUUAACAUCAAGUACAGCUGGAUCCAGGUGCUCAAAGUCAACAGGAAUUGGCCUCUCUCUGUUUCUUAGUUGGUUUUCUUCUGUGUAGACUUUACUUUCAAGUAAGGUCCUACCUGGAGGCAGGGUAACACCAGCAGCUCCAGAUUUUCUUUCUACUGGCUUAGCCAUCUCACAGAAAGAGAACUCACCCCAAACCCCAGGAAAGGAAAGGCUCUCAUUGGCCUGGCCAAGGUCAUGAACCACUGAUUGGCCAGGCUUGGACCCCCUGUUCAUCCUCAGGUUGGAGAGGAUGAUCAGACCCAGGUGCAAGCAGCAUGUGGACUAGGAGCAGGAGAUGGGUGGUUCCCCCCAAAAUGGGCAGUUCUCUAGUACCGAAGAUGAAGGAAAGGGCAGCCCAAGGACCAGUGGCCCCUCUAAGAGCCAUAGAGGCGAAGAACAAACUCUCUCCUGGAGCCUCCAGAAGGAACCAGCCCUGCUGACACCUUGAUUUUAGUCCUAUAAGACUCAUUUUGGACUUCUGA
Long non-coding RNA from Manis javanica (Malayan pangolin), 1708 nucleotides. RefSeq lists it as uncharacterized. The record is from RefSeq and is a predicted model, not a curated record. Lineage: Eukaryota; Metazoa; Chordata; Mammalia; Pholidota; Manidae.